This 360-nucleotide ribosomal RNA is filed under the name uncultured Glomeromycotina. Its description in RNAcentral is "partial large subunit ribosomal RNA". The record is from RNAcentral. Lineage: Eukaryota; Fungi; Glomeromycota.
UUGAAAGGGAAACGAUUGAAGUCAGUCGUGCUGGCAUGAAAUCAACCACUGCAUACACAAAAGUGUUGGCGGGUGAGCCUAAAAACCAUCGCGCCAACAUUUUUGCGUAUGCAGUGGUGCACUUUUUUGUCAGCCGGUUAGCAUCAAUUUCGACCGUCAUAAAAAGGCUGGGGGGAUGUGGCUCCUUCGGGAGUGUUAUAACCCUUUAGCGGAAUGUGGUGGACGUGAUUGAGGAUUGCAACGGGGGCUGCUUUACCUUGGCCCUCCCCGCUUGCGUCUCGGGGGCGACAGCUUGCUGACGUCGUUGGGAACCGCAGACGAAAAGGUAGAGUGGGGCGAUUCGUUAAGGAUGUUGACGUA